This 253-nucleotide ribosomal RNA is filed under the name uncultured bacterium. RNAcentral's name for it is "partial 16S ribosomal RNA". It matches the Rfam family "Bacterial small subunit ribosomal RNA", at positions 524 to 776 of the family's 1533-position model. The record is from RNAcentral.
UACGUAAGGGGCAAGCGUUGUCCGGAAUCAUUGGGCGUAAAGAGCGCGUAGGCGGCCCUGUAAGUCCGCUGUGAAAGUCAAGGGCUCAACCCUUGGAUGCCGGUGGAUACUGCAGGGCUAGAGUCCGGAAGAGGCGAGUGGAAUUCCUGGUGUAGCGGUGAAAUGCGCAGAUAUCAGGAGGAACACCAAUGGCGAAGGCGGUUCUCUGGGCAUUACCUGACGCUGAGGAGCGAAAGUGUGGGGAGCGAACAGG